UGAUUUAUUAAAGUCCUUCUUGAUGU
Molecule: non-coding RNA, 26 nt
Filed under: Mus musculus (house mouse)
Lineage: Eukaryota; Metazoa; Chordata; Mammalia; Rodentia; Muridae
Source: RNAcentral